This 781-nucleotide ribosomal RNA is filed under the name uncultured Alphaproteobacteria bacterium. Its description in RNAcentral is "bacterial SSU rRNA". It matches the Rfam family "Bacterial small subunit ribosomal RNA", at positions 38 to 875 of the family's 1533-position model. Lineage: Bacteria; Pseudomonadati; Pseudomonadota; Alphaproteobacteria. The record is from RNAcentral.
GGCGGCAGGCUUAACACAUGCAAGUCGAACGAUAUAGUGGCAGACGGGUGAGUAACGCGUGGAAACGUGCCUUUCACUACGGAAUAGCUUUUGGAAACGAAAGGUAAUACCGUAUACGCCCUCCGGGGGAAAGAUUUAUCGGUGAAAGAUCGGUCCGCGUUAGAUUAGCUAGUUGGUGAGGUAACGGCUCACCAAGGCUACGAUCUAUAGCUGGUCUGAGAGGAUGAUCAGCCACACUGGGACUGAGACACGGCCCAGACUCCUACGGGAGGCAGCAGUGGGGAAUAUUGCACAAUGGGCGCAAGCCUGAUGCAGCCAUGCCGCGUGAAUGAUGAAGGCCUUAGGGUUGUAAAAUUCUUUCGCCAGGGAUGAUAAUGACAGUACCUGGUAAAGAAGCCCCGGCUAACUUCGUGCCAGCAGCCGCGGUAAUACGAAGGGGGCUAGCGUUGUUCGGAAUUACUGGGCGUAAAGCGCACGUAGGCGGACUUUUAAGUCAGAUGUGAAAUCCCAAGGCUCAACCUUGGGACUGCAUUUGAAACUGGGAGUCUAGAGAUCAGGAGAGGUUAGCGGAAUACCGAGUGUAGAGGUGAAAUUCGUAGAUAUUCGGUGGAACACCAGUGGCGAAGGCGGCUAACUGGACUGAUACUGACGCUGAGGUGCGAAAGUGUGGGGAGCAAACAGGAUUAGAUACCCUGGUAGUCCACACCCGUAAACGAUGAGUGCUAGUUGUCUGCAGGCAUGCCUGUAGGUGACGCAGCUAACGCAUUAAGCACUCCGCCUG